This 253-nucleotide ribosomal RNA is filed under the name uncultured bacterium. RNAcentral's name for it is "partial 16S ribosomal RNA". It matches the Rfam family "Bacterial small subunit ribosomal RNA", at positions 524 to 776 of the family's 1533-position model. The record is from RNAcentral.
UACGUAGGGGGCAAGCGUUGUCCGGAAUCAUUGGGCGUAAAGAGCGUGUAGGCGGCUUCGUCAGUCCGUUGUGAAAGUCCAGGGCUCAACCCUGGAAUGCCGAUGGAUACUGCGGAGCUAGAGUCCGGAAGAGGCGAGUGGAAUUCCUGGUGUAGCGGUGAAAUGCGUAGAUAUACGGAGGAACACCUGCGGCGAAGGCGGAUUGCUGGGCCAACACUGACGCUGAGGCGCGAAAGCUAGGGUAGCAAACGGG